RNAcentral lists this ribosomal RNA (301 nucleotides) under uncultured bacterium. RNAcentral's name for it is "partial 16S ribosomal RNA". It matches the Rfam family "Bacterial small subunit ribosomal RNA", at positions 509 to 808 of the family's 1533-position model. The record is from RNAcentral.
CAGCCGCCGCGGGAAUACGUAGGUCCCGAGCGUUGUCCGGAUUUAUUGGGCGUAAAGCGAGCGCAGGCGGUUAGAUAAGUCUGAAGUUAAAGGCUGUGGCUUAACCAUAGUACGCUUUGGAAACUGUUUAACUUGAGUGCAAGAGGGGAGAGUGGAAUUCCAUGUGUAGCGGUGAAAUGCGUAGAUAUAUGAAGGAACACCGGUGGCGAAAGCGGCUCUCUGGCUUGUAACUGACGCUGAGGCUCGAAAGCGUGGGGAGCAAACAGGAUUAGAUACCCGCGUAGUCCCUGUCUCUUAUACA